GAUGAACGCUGGCGGCGUGCCUAAUACAUGCAAGUCGAGCGAACAGAUAAGGAGCUUGCUCCUUUGACGUUAGCGGCGGACGGGUGAGUAACACGUGGGUAACCUAUCUAUAAGACUGGAAUAACUCCGGGAAACCGGGGCUAAUGCCGGAUAACAUGUUGAACCGCAUGGUUCUACAGUGAAAGGCGGCUUUGCUGUCACUUAUAGAUGGACCCGCGCCGUAUUAGCUAGUUGGUGAGGUAACGGCUCACCAAGGCAACGAUACGUAGCCGACCUGAGAGGGUGAUCAGCCACACUGGAACUGAGACACGGUCCAGACUCCUACGGGAGGCAGCAGUAGGGAAUCUUCCGCAAUGGGCGAAAGCCUGACGGAGCAAUGCCGCGUGAGUGAUGAAGGUCUUCGGAUCGUAAAACUCUGUUAUUAGGGAAGAACAAAUGCGUAAGUAACUGUGCGCGUCUUGACGGUACCUAAUCAGAAAGCCACGGCUAACUACGUG
RNAcentral lists this ribosomal RNA (497 nucleotides) under uncultured bacterium. RNAcentral describes it as "partial 16S ribosomal RNA". It matches the Rfam family "Bacterial small subunit ribosomal RNA", at positions 28 to 507 of the family's 1533-position model. The record is from RNAcentral.